Molecule: non-coding RNA, 151 nt
Filed under: human gut metagenome
Description: Lysine riboswitch
Rfam family: Lysine riboswitch aptamer
About the family: Riboswitches are metabolite binding domains within certain messenger RNAs that serve as precision sensors for their corresponding targets.
Source: RNAcentral
AAGAGGCGCGGGGCUUAUCAGUACGUUUUCUGUUUUGUGACAGCAUGGAAAACGGAAAGGAGGCUUCGCCGAAGAUGCCUGUGCUCUGUCAGGUCAGGCUUCUGGGGUGUGCCAGAACAUGGUACGCACUGUCACGAUAGUGGAGAGCUUU